RNAcentral lists this ribosomal RNA (253 nucleotides) under uncultured bacterium. RNAcentral's name for it is "partial 16S ribosomal RNA". It matches the Rfam family "Bacterial small subunit ribosomal RNA", at positions 524 to 776 of the family's 1533-position model. The record is from RNAcentral.
UACGAAGGGGGCUAGCGUUGCUCGGAAUUACUGGGCGUAAAGGGAGCGUAGGCGGACAGUUUAGUCAGAGGUGAAAGCCCAGGGCUCAACCCUGGAAUUGCCUUUGAUACUGACUGUCUUGAGUGUGGGAGAGGUGUGUGGAACUCCGAGUGUAGAGGUGAAAUUCGUAGAUAUUCGGAAGAACACCAGUGGCGAAGGCGACACACUGGCCCAUUACUGACGCUGAGGCACGAAAGCGUGGGGAGCAAACAGG